GUGAGGAAUUUUCCGCAAUGGGCGAAAGCCUGACGGAGCAAUGCCGCGUGAAGGAUGAAGGCCUAUGGGUUGUAAACUUCUUUUCUCAGAAAAGAAUUAUGACGGUAUCUGAGGAAUAAGCAUCGGCUAACUCUGUGCCAGCAGCCGCGGUAAGACAGAGGAUGCAAGCGUUAUCCGGAAUGAUUGGGCGUAAAGCGUCUGUAGGUUGUUUAAAAAGUAUUCUGUCAAAGAUUAGGGCUUAACCCUAGAUAGGCAGAAUAAACUUUUAAGCUAGAGUUUGGUAGAGGCAGAGGGAAUUCCCGGUGGAGCGGUGAAAUGCGUAGAUAUCGGGAGGAACACCAAAGGCGAAGGCACUCUGCUGGGCCAAUACUAACACUGAGAGACGAAAGCGAGGGGAGCAAAUGGGAUUAGAAACCCGGGUAGUCC
This 426-nucleotide ribosomal RNA is filed under the name uncultured bacterium. RNAcentral describes it as "bacterial SSU rRNA". It matches the Rfam family "Bacterial small subunit ribosomal RNA", at positions 354 to 796 of the family's 1533-position model. The record is from RNAcentral.